Molecule: long non-coding RNA, 80 nt
Organism: Psammomys obesus (fat sand rat)
Lineage: Eukaryota; Metazoa; Chordata; Mammalia; Rodentia; Muridae
Exons: 3
Source: RefSeq, a predicted model, not a curated record
CUUUGGGCUAAGCCCUCAUUGGUGGAUAUCCAGUUUUCCACCCACAUUUUUCUUCCAAACAAGCUUGUUCUUGAUUAUGG